UACGUAGGUGGCAAGCGUUAUCCGGAAUUAUUGGGCGUAAAGAGCGCGCAGGUGGUUGAUUAAGUCUGAUGUGAAAGCCCACGGCUUAACCGUGGAGGGUCAUUGGAAACUGGUCGACUUGAGUGCAGAAGAGGGAAGUGGAAUUCCAUGUGUAGCGGUGAAAUGCGUAGAGAUAUGGAGGAACACCAGUGGCGAAGGCGGCUUCCUGGUCUGUAACUGACACUGAGGCGCGAAAGCGUGGGGAGCAAACAGGAUUAGA
RNAcentral lists this ribosomal RNA (259 nucleotides) under uncultured prokaryote. RNAcentral describes it as "partial 16S ribosomal RNA". It matches the Rfam family "Bacterial small subunit ribosomal RNA", at positions 524 to 782 of the family's 1533-position model. The record is from RNAcentral.